GAUGAACGCUGGCGGCGUGCCUAAUACAUGCAAGUCGAGCGAACAGACGAGGCUCUUGCUCCUCUGACGUUAGCGGCGGACGGGUGAGUAACACGUGUAUAACCUACCUAUAAGACUGGGAUAACUUCGGGAAACCGGAUCUAACACCGGAUAAUAUAUUGAACCGCAUGGUUCAAUAGAGAAAGACGGUUUUGCUGUCACUACUAGAUGGUUCCAGGCCGCAUUAGCUAGUUGGUACGGUAACGGCUUACCAAGGCUACCAUGCGUAGCCGAACUGAGAGGGUGGUCGGCCACACGGGAACUUGGACACGGUCCAGACUCCUACGGGAGGCAGCAGUAGGGAAACUUCCGCAAUGGGCGAAAGCCUGACGGAGCAACGCCGCGUGGGUGAAGAAGGUCUUCGGAUCGUAAAGCCCUGUUAUUAGGGAAGAACAGAUGUGUAAGUAACUAUGCACGUCUUGACGGUACCUAAUCAGAAAGCCACGGCUAACUACGUG
RNAcentral lists this ribosomal RNA (497 nucleotides) under uncultured bacterium. RNAcentral's name for it is "partial 16S ribosomal RNA". It matches the Rfam family "Bacterial small subunit ribosomal RNA", at positions 28 to 507 of the family's 1533-position model. The record is from RNAcentral.